AUGAUGAUAAUGAUGAUUAAA
This 21-nucleotide microRNA is filed under the name Corchorus olitorius. Its description in RNAcentral is "ath-miR56". RNAcentral also lists the same sequence under 1 other name. The record is from RNAcentral. Lineage: Eukaryota; Viridiplantae; Streptophyta; Magnoliopsida; Malvales; Malvaceae.